CCUUUCGCUCCUAGCGUCAGUUACGGCCCAGAGAUCUGCCUUCGCCAUCGGUGUUCCUCCUGAUAUCUGCGCAUUCCACCGCUACACCAGGAAUUCCAAUCUCCCCUACCGCACUCUAGUCUGCCCGUACCCACUGCAGGCCCGAGGUUGAGCCUCGGGAUUUCACAGCAGACGCGACAAACCGCCUACGAGCUCUUUACGCCCAAUAAUUCCGGAUAACGCUUGCGCCCUACGUAUUACCGCGGCUGCUGGCACGUAGUUAGCCGGCGCUUUUUCUGCAGGUACCGUCACUUUCGCUUCUUCCCUGCUAAAAGAGGUUUACAACCCGAAGGCCGUCAUCCCUCACGCGGCGUUGCUGCAUCAGGCUUCCGCCCAUUGUGCAAUAUUCCCCACUGCUGCCUCCCGUAGGAGUCUGGGCCGUGUCUCAGUCCCAGUGUGGCCGGUCACCCUCUCAGGCCGGCUACCCGUCGACGCCUUGGUGAGCCAUUACCUCACCAACAAGCUGAUAGGCCGCGAGCCCAUCCCCAACCAAAAAAUCUUUCCAACAACUGGCCAUGCGGCCGUUGCUCGUAUCCAGUAUUAGACGCCGUUUCCAGCGCUUAUCCCAGAGUCAGGGGCAGGUUGCUCACGUGUUACUCACCCGUUCGCCACUGAUCCACAGAGCAAGCUCUGCUUCACCGUUCGACUUNAUGUGUUAAGCACGCCGCCAGCGUUCAUCCUGACCAGGAUAR
This 731-nucleotide ribosomal RNA is filed under the name Microbacterium phyllosphaerae. RNAcentral's name for it is "partial 16S ribosomal RNA". The record is from RNAcentral. Lineage: Bacteria; Bacillati; Actinomycetota; Actinomycetes; Micrococcales; Microbacteriaceae.